Long non-coding RNA from Sinocyclocheilus grahami, 143 nucleotides. RefSeq lists it as uncharacterized. The record is from RefSeq and is a predicted model, not a curated record. Lineage: Eukaryota; Metazoa; Chordata; Actinopteri; Cypriniformes; Cyprinidae. The transcript has 3 exons.
GUCAAACCCAAACACACACUGGACCUAACAGAUGCCUCAGAUCUGGUCGACUGCACAAGUCCGAUCAGUGGUAACAGCAACAGUGGAACUCCAUCUUUCCUUCUGAAGCAGUCGCUCCUGCCUCAGUCCUCUUCUGUGUCUGG